This 468-nucleotide ribosomal RNA is filed under the name uncultured bacterium. RNAcentral's name for it is "partial 16S ribosomal RNA". It matches the Rfam family "Bacterial small subunit ribosomal RNA", at positions 28 to 507 of the family's 1533-position model. The record is from RNAcentral.
GACGAACGUCGGCGGUGUGCUUUACACAUGCAAGUCGAACGGAUAGGCCCUGCUUUUGUGGGGUGCUCACGUGGCGAACGGGUGAUUAUUACGUGAGUAACCUGCCUUUGCCUUUGGGAUAACUUCUGGCAACUGGGGAUAAUCCCGGUUAGGAGCUCCUGCUGCAUGGUGGGGGUUGGAAAGUUUCGGCGGUUGGGGAUGGACUCGCGGCUUAUCAGCUUGUUGGUGGGGUAGUGGCUUACCAAGGCUUUGACGGGUAGCCGGCCUGUGAGGGUGACCGGCCACAUUGGGACUGAGAUACGGCCCAGACUCCUACGGGAGGCAGCAGUGGGGAAUAUUGCACAAUGGGCGGAAGCCUGAUGCAGCAACGCCGCGUGCGGGAUGACUGCCUUCUGGUUGUAAUCCGCAUUCGCCUGUGACGAAGCGUUAGUGACGGUAAUGGGUAAAGAAGCACCGGCUAACUACGUG